This is a long non-coding RNA of Carassius auratus (goldfish), 568 nucleotides long. RefSeq lists it as uncharacterized. Lineage: Eukaryota; Metazoa; Chordata; Actinopteri; Cypriniformes; Cyprinidae. The record is from RefSeq and is a predicted model, not a curated record. The transcript is spliced from 2 exons.
GUAGUAGGGCAGUCUAGGUACCGCCCUAUUAAACGUGGUUUUCCACUGAAUGACAGGUGUGACAGCUUAUUGGCUGCUGCUCCGGGUGUAUUUAAGGCGCAGUUUGUCACCUGGGUACGCAUCGUAUAAUCAUUGUGUGUGCGCGCAGCUCGCGGGAGCCAGGUUAUGGUCACGAUUGGUACGACGUUGCUGUUGGGUACCGGCUGUCCUUCACUCAAGUGUGUGCGUGCACUAGAACGCCUGUGUAUUUGAAGUUCGCAGAGUACGGAUAAAGCUGAGUUGAAGGCCCCCAGUGAGGGAAGCUAGCUGUCUUGGCCCUGUGGUGGUGGUGUUUCUUUCACCGUGUUUUUGCCAUUGAUAUUUGUGUCUCCCUCACUUAGUGUGUGGUGUGGCGUGAGUGUUUGUGUGGGGCGUAUUUGGGUGAGUGGUGUGUCUUCGGGUACUCUCUGUUCAGCUAGCUGCCCUACUGGUAAACCUCAGCCGGAAAGUUUUUUGUUUCUUUUCUUUUUGUUUGGUUAAUCUACAUUUUAAUUAAUUAUUGUGAAAUAAAGGCAUUGUUGUAUUUAUA